This 445-nucleotide ribosomal RNA is filed under the name uncultured bacterium. RNAcentral describes it as "partial 16S ribosomal RNA". It matches the Rfam family "Bacterial small subunit ribosomal RNA", at positions 354 to 796 of the family's 1533-position model. The record is from RNAcentral.
GUAGGGAAUAUUGGGCAAUGGAGGCAACUCUGACACAGCCAUGCCGCGUGCAGGAAGAAGGCGCUACGCGUUGUAAACUGCUUUUAACCGGGAAGAAACCCCAGGACGUGUCCUGGGUUGACGGUACCGGAGGAAUAAGCACCGGCUAACUUCGUGCCAGCAGCCGCGGUAAUACGAAGGGUGCAAGCGUUAUCCGGAUUCAUUGGGUUUAAAGGGUGCGUAGGCGGAGCGUUAAGUCAGUGGUGAAAUCCUGCAGCUUAACUGUAGACUUGCCAUUGAUACUGGCGCUCUUGAGUGCGCUUGAAGUGGGCGGAAUGUGCCGUGUAGCGGUGAAAUGCUUAGAUAUGGCACAGAACACCAAUUGCGAAGGCAGCUCACUAAGGCGAUACUGACGCUGAGGCACGAAAGCGUGGGGAUCGAACAGGAUUAGAUACCCCUGUAGUCC